Molecule: non-coding RNA, 136 nt
Organism: Triticum aestivum (bread wheat)
Lineage: Eukaryota; Viridiplantae; Streptophyta; Magnoliopsida; Poales; Poaceae
Source: Rfam
CUCCUACUCCCUCCGUUCCACAAUACAUGCCUUCUAUUUGUCAAAAUAUAGAUGUAUCUAGACAUGUUUUAGUAUAUAGGUACAUCCAUGUUUGGACAAAUGAAAGUCAAGUAUUUUGGAAUGGAGGGAGUAAAAU